GGGGCCUGGGGCUGGGCGACAGCAGUGCCUUGGCAGGACACUGAAGAGACUGGAAUGCAGGGCUGUGCUGGGGGGGGGGAGGGGAAAGCAGUCCCCGAAGGCUUUGGGUGCAGAAGAUGGGGCUCCUAGACCUGAUCCGUGGAGCAACAGGCAGGGUUUUGACAAUUUAAAUCUUCCUUCAUAAAUGCCUCUUAGACAAUUCAUGUCCCGUGGUAUAAUGACAGCAUUACAAGAAAUAAUUAUGACCGUACAAGUAUCAUAAACAUUAUUAUGCUGAUAGACAUUUCAUUCUGCAUCUCAAGAAGAAAUUACUGAACUGAGAAAUACUGGUGGUGUAAUUAUUGUAACACAGAUUUUUAGAAAGGAGACAUUUAGGACACACGUGUUACCCAAAUCACGACACCACCACCACGUAAUAACCAAUAGCUUUAGUCUAUGGAACUAAAGUGAAACCGUGGCAGUCUGAAAAAUGCCCGAGAGUUCUUAGGGAUGAUUACAUCACAACGGUCGCAGGCUGGAAGGGAAAAGGGGGUCGUGCGCAACAAUGCCGGCCGUCCCCAGGUUCCCCACUCUGGCUGAGGGCUGGGACUGUCCAGCGGCCCACAGCGCAGAGCGGAGGGACAGGGCUCUUGCACGGGGCAUUGUCUGAAAUCCAAAGGCACAGCCCCUCCCCUGUGGCCGGCUUUAUUUUCACACACUGACGUGUCAAACACAUGACAAACUCAGUCAUUCACGGCUGCCUUUUUUUGAUCUGUCCUUCAGGGGGAAAAAGAGUUAACUGAACUGGAUUGAAUCAGCUUGGUGAAAAAUAAAAUGUCUCUAUUUAU
Molecule: long non-coding RNA, 827 nt
Filed under: Lynx pardinus (Iberian lynx)
Lineage: Eukaryota; Metazoa; Chordata; Mammalia; Carnivora; Felidae
Source: RNAcentral